This is a long non-coding RNA of Artibeus jamaicensis (Jamaican fruit-eating bat), 455 nucleotides long. RefSeq lists it as uncharacterized. The transcript is spliced from 3 exons. The record is from RefSeq and is a predicted model, not a curated record. NCBI's taxonomy places the organism in Eukaryota, Metazoa, Chordata, Mammalia, Chiroptera, Phyllostomidae.
CCGAGACCUACGGCAGGCCGAGAUGAUUCCUUCUCUCUUUUUGGAUUGCAAGCACACGGGCAAGACAUGCCAGAACCAGAAGUUGCCUUGGGGUUCAUCGGGGAUUGCUCCUCAAGAAAAGUUGUUUCGCAUCGGAAAUUCUCUUAAACCGUACAUUUGGGGACAGUCCAAUUCUGUUGGCAGCUCAAUCCCAGAGGAAAUGUCUCCUCUGGACAUUGUGCGUCAGUUAUUAAAUCUUUAAUUUCCUUUCACCGGGAGAAAUUUAUUUCUUCUGCUACUUCAGGACAACUUUAUGUGCCUUGUAAUAACACACUCGAACUGCUCUGGACUUGAUGUUUGAGCCCCACACACAUUCAUCUGGUGAAGGCCUAACCCCACAGGGACGGUAUUUGGAGACACAGCAGGAAGGCUGCCAUUGAACACUGAGUCUGCUGCCACCUUGAUCUUGAUUGGAC